This 253-nucleotide ribosomal RNA is filed under the name uncultured bacterium. RNAcentral describes it as "partial 16S ribosomal RNA". It matches the Rfam family "Bacterial small subunit ribosomal RNA", at positions 524 to 776 of the family's 1533-position model. The record is from RNAcentral.
UACGUAGGGCGCAAGCGUUGUCCGGAAUUAUUGGGCGUAAAGAGCUCGUAGGCGGCUUGUCACGUCGGGUGUGAAAGCCCGGGGCUUAACCCCGGGUCUGCAUUCGAUACGGGCAGGCUAGAGUGUGGUAGGGGAGAUCGGAAUUCCCGGUGUAGCGGUGAAAUGCGCAGAUAUCGGGAGGAACACCGGUGGCGAAGGCGGUUCUCUGGGCCUGUACUGACGCUGAGGAGCGAAAGCGUGGGGAGCGAACAGG